ACAUAUUACUCCAAUUCUCUCCCUCUCCAGCCGCCGCACCACCUCUAUUACUUGUCCCUUUUUGUCUUCGACCAUCGAUGCAUUUUAAUGGACAAGAGUUAGACAACAGGAAAAUGACUUUCCAGACAUUCGAUUAGCCUUUUUGUUUAUGGUAAAACCUACUUCAUCCUUUCCCUGAAUGCAAGAAGAUUAUCAGGCGGGUUGCAGCAUCAAAAAUCCCAGACAAAUACUUGUUUUUUUGGAUAUGAGAAACUUUAGAAUUUUACAGAUUAUGGUUGAAAUAUCUAACAUGUUGUACAUAGUUUGUAAUAUUUGUUACUAUCCAUCCUGUCUAGUUUUAUUCUACAAUCUCAUUAUGUAUGAUU
Lycium barbarum (goji berry) is the source of this 365-nucleotide long non-coding RNA. RefSeq lists it as uncharacterized. The transcript is spliced from 3 exons. NCBI's taxonomy places the organism in Eukaryota, Viridiplantae, Streptophyta, Magnoliopsida, Solanales, Solanaceae. The record is from RefSeq and is a predicted model, not a curated record.